Molecule: ribosomal RNA, 253 nt
Filed under: uncultured bacterium
Lineage: Bacteria
Description: partial 16S ribosomal RNA
Rfam family: Bacterial small subunit ribosomal RNA
Source: RNAcentral
UACGGAGGGGGCUAGCGUUGUUCGGAAUUACUGGGCGUAAAGCGCACGUAGGCGGCUUUGUAAGUUAGAGGUGAAAGCCCGGGGCUCAACUCCGGAAUUGCCUUUAAGACUGCAUCGCUAGAAUUGUGGAGAGGUAAGUGGAAUUCCGGGUGUAGAGGUGAAAUUCGUAGAUAUUCGGAAGAACACCAGUGGCGAAGGCGACACACUGGCCCGUUACUGACGCUGAGGCGCGAAAGCGUGGGGAGCAAACAGG